Molecule: non-coding RNA, 126 nt
Organism: Thozetella sp. PMI_491
Lineage: Eukaryota; Fungi; Ascomycota; Sordariomycetes; Chaetosphaeriales; Chaetosphaeriaceae
Source: the annotation of a GenBank genome assembly
GCCCGGUUAGCUCAAUCGGUAGAGCGUGAGACUCUUAAUCUCAAGGGCAAGUAGCCUCUUCACCCCAGACACCCGUCCACAACCUAACGGAGUGUGCAGCUGCGGGUUCGACCCCCGCAUCGGGCU